UUCCGCUCUCUCAAAUCCUCUAACCCCACAGUGACCGAACUCCUUACCCCAUUGCCCCUGAGGGUAUGGUUACAACAUGAUAAUAAGGGUACCAACACAAUUUUCUGGGGCAUGAAUGUAGUCUGUUGUCAUCAUCAUCAUCUUGGACAUUUUCCAGCCUCUGGCCAGGGCACCAGUUCUAUGAACCUCAACCACGUCAAAAUCAGAUAUCUCUCAUCCAUUAUAACUCAAAUACAAUUAGAUACAUGAAAACCACCUGAUGUCGAACCCGUCAAUUCAAAACUGGUAAAAGCACUAUCUGUCCUUAAUAAAGAACAUUGAUAACAGUGGCUAGUUGUUGUUUUUACUUUUUGUAGGAAUUAAUUUGUAAUACUAAAUUUACUUUUCACAAGUGAGUCUGAAUUGUACUCAGUCCUUUAACUUACAAG
Schistocerca piceifrons (Central American locust) is the source of this 428-nucleotide long non-coding RNA. RefSeq lists it as uncharacterized. The transcript is spliced from 3 exons. The record is from RefSeq and is a predicted model, not a curated record. Lineage: Eukaryota; Metazoa; Arthropoda; Insecta; Orthoptera; Acrididae.